CAGAGAAUCUGCCUCCGGGCACUCUCCCACCCUUUGUUUAUUAUACCUUUGUUGCUUUGGCAGACCCGCCCUUGUGGCCACCGGCCCCGGCUGGUCAGUGUCUGCCAGAGGAUCCAAAACUCAUGUUUAAUUGUCGUCUGAGUACUAUAUAAUAGUUA
RNAcentral lists this unclassified non-coding RNA (158 nucleotides) under uncultured Leotiomycetes. RNAcentral describes it as "sequence contains ITS1". The record is from RNAcentral. Lineage: Eukaryota; Fungi; Ascomycota; Leotiomycetes.